CGGACGGGUGAGUAACGCGUGGGUAACCUGCCUCAUACAGGGGGAUAACAGUUAGAAAUGGCUGCUAAUACCGCAUAAGACCACGGUACUGCAUGGUACAGUGGUAAAAACUCCGGUGGUAUGAGAUGGACCCGCGUCUGAUUAGGUAGUUGGUGAGGUAACGGCCCACCAAGCCGACGAUCAGUAGCCGACCUGAGAGGGUGACCGGCCACAUUGGGACUGAGACACGGCCCAG
RNAcentral lists this ribosomal RNA (235 nucleotides) under uncultured bacterium. RNAcentral's name for it is "partial 16S ribosomal RNA". It matches the Rfam family "Bacterial small subunit ribosomal RNA", at positions 99 to 334 of the family's 1533-position model. The record is from RNAcentral.